GUCCUGGUCCCAAAACGUAUUACUCAACGAUUCGGCAAAUGUACGUGAACACCAACUCGUGUGCUUUGCAACGCUCGCCUUCGGCUCGCGCUGCAAAAAUCACACUCGUUGGUAUUCACGCACUUUACCGAACAGUUAAGUAAUAUACUAUUUUUUUACGUUGUUCGGUAUUCAACGAUUCGUUGUUGCUGAGAAUAUCUGAAAAGUUAUAGGCCUACUAUUCUCAAGUGAGCAGACAUAAGCAAUUUGCCAGAUAAUGUUUUCAAUUCGUGGUACAGCUUUAAUCAUUUUUCUCGCGUGUUCAACACCUGCAUCUUUGGUUUCCGCGUUUAAAGUUUCUACCUUUGAAGAUGAUGAAUAGUAAGAGAAUAUAUUUUGGCAUGAUUGAAAAAAUGUACGGACAACAAUCAUUUUUUAAUCACGCGGAAUUCAGGACAUACUAACACAGCGUCGAAAGUAUUGCGACUCUUAUCAAAUUAUUAGAAUUCAGAAAAUUAUUCAAUUUUUAAAAACUCAAUUUGAAAUUACCUACUGCUGAAAAAUCUCCUACGUAAGUGAAAAUCAAAAUGCAAAUUAGAGGUGUUUUCAAAGACUGUAUUUUCUAUCUCGGUACCUAAGUAGUAACAUUUUCAAGAAUGAUGCGACAUUCAUCUGUUUUACUGAUAAUAUUGAUUGCAUAUUCAGCAUAUUCAUUUGGAGUGAUGAUCCCUUAUGAAAAUAAUUCUCAUCUCCAUUACUCCGCGAAAGAAAACAUAAGUAUUACUAAUUGUUCUGGUACAGAUGAAGUCACAUGGACAACUAGCUUUACGAUGAAAGGCAAUUACACAAUAAAUGUACAGACCCCAUACAGAAAAAUUUUUGAAAUAAAAAACGCUUCAGUUUUUAAUUCUGGAGCAUACGAAUGUGUUUCAACAAAGAACACAAAUGAAUUCAUGAGGAUUUUUCUUUUUCCUGAUGCUUCUUGUUUCCCAGAUAAUGGAACCCACAAUUAUUACAUAAUUUCAAUUUCAGACUCAGGGGAAGUUCAUGAGUCAAGUUAUGAUGGUGAUUCAUUAACUGUCACCUUUUCUUAACGAGACGCCGAACUGUAAUCAUCUAUUUUUCUAACUACCUAGGAAGGAAUCAUUAAAGUGCACUUGCUAAAAUAA
Long non-coding RNA from Planococcus citri (citrus mealybug), 1148 nucleotides. RefSeq lists it as uncharacterized. The transcript has 7 exons. NCBI's taxonomy places the organism in Eukaryota, Metazoa, Arthropoda, Insecta, Hemiptera, Pseudococcidae. The record is from RefSeq and is a predicted model, not a curated record.